Molecule: long non-coding RNA, 217 nt
Filed under: Solanum tuberosum (potato)
Lineage: Eukaryota; Viridiplantae; Streptophyta; Magnoliopsida; Solanales; Solanaceae
Description: long non-coding RNA (STUB_LNC005604)
Source: RNAcentral
ACAGACCUCGCUUAGAAGAUCAGCGAUCGUCAUCGAAUUCAAGGGUGAGCCAGUUCUUCCGGGCUGCCAUGAGUUCUCUUUCGUUUAUGUCCCCAUUUCGAACUUAGACUAUUGCAUUAGGAUUUCUUAUGUUUAGUUGGGUUUUACCCAUUUUCUUAGACUUGUUGAACUUUAGAUGUUUUGGUACAUUGACUUUCAGGUUCUAGGUAUUAUUCUG